CCUACGGGAGGCAGCAGUGAGGAAUAUUGGUCAAUGGACGCAAGUCUGAACCAGCCAUGUCGCGUGCAGGAAGACGGCCCUAUGAGUUGUAAACUGCUUUUGUACGAGGGUAAACGCAGAUACGCGUAUCUGUCUGAAAGUAUCGUACGAAUAAGGAUCGGCUAACUCCGUGCCAGCAGCCGCGGUAAUACGGAGGAUUCAAGCGUUAUCCGGAUUUAUUGGGUUUAAAGGGUGCGUAGGCGGUCGGAUAAGUUAGAGGUGAAAUCCCGAGGCUCAACCUCGGAAUUGCCUCUGAUACUGUUCGUCUAGAGAGUAGUUGCGGUAGGCGGAAUGUGUGGUGUAGCGGUGAAAUGCAUAGAGAUCAUACAGAACACCGAUUGCGAAGGCAGCUGACCAGGCUACUUCUGACGUUGAGGCACGAAAGCGUGGGGAGCAAACAGGAUUAGAUACCCGUGUAGUC
RNAcentral lists this ribosomal RNA (460 nucleotides) under uncultured bacterium. RNAcentral's name for it is "partial 16S ribosomal RNA". It matches the Rfam family "Bacterial small subunit ribosomal RNA", at positions 338 to 795 of the family's 1533-position model. The record is from RNAcentral.